CAGCAGUGGGGAAUCUUGGACAAUGGGCGCAAGCCUGAUCCAGCCAUGCCGCGUGAGUGAUGAAGGCCCUAGGGUCGUAAAGCUCUUUCGCCAGGGAUGAUAAUGACAGUACCUAGUAAAGAAACCCCCGGCUAACUCCGUGCCAGCAGCCGCGGUAAUACGGAGGGGGUUAGCGUUGUUCGGAAUUACUGGGCGUAAAGCGCGCGUAGGCGGACUGGAAAGUUGGGGUGAAAUCCCCGGGGCUCAAACCCGGAACUGCCUCCAAAACUCCCAGUCUUGAGUUCGAGAGAGGUGAGUGGAAUUCCGAGUGUAGAGGUGAAAUUCGUAGAUAUUCGGAGGAACACCAGUGGCGAAGGCGGCUCACUGGCUCGAUACUGACGCUGAGGUGCGAAAGUGUGGGGAGCAAACAGGAUUAGAUACCCUGGUAG
Molecule: ribosomal RNA, 428 nt
Filed under: uncultured bacterium
Lineage: Bacteria
Description: bacterial SSU rRNA
Rfam family: Bacterial small subunit ribosomal RNA
Source: RNAcentral